AACGAACGCUGGCGGUAUGCUUAACACAUGCAAGUCGAACGGACUUAUUAGAGCUUGCUUUAAUAAGUUAGUGGCAAACGGGUGAGUAACACGUGGGAAUCUACCCAUCAGUACGGAAUAACAUUUGGAAACAAAUGCUAAUACCGUAUAUUCUCUACGGAGGAAAGAUUUAUCGCUGAUGGAUGAGCCCGCGUUAGAUUAGGUAGUUGGUAGGGUAAUGGCCUACCAAGCCGACGAUCUAUAGCUGGUCUGAGAGGAUGAUCAGCCACACUGGGACUGAGACACGGCCCAGACUCCUACGGGAGGCAGCAGUGGGGAAUAUUGGACAAUGGGCGAAAGCCUGAUCCAGCAAUACCGCGUGGAGGAUGAAGGCUUUAGGGUUGUAAACUCCUUUUGUGGGGAAAAGAAUGGAUGGUACCCCAAGAAUAAGUCACGGCUAACUACGUG
This 447-nucleotide ribosomal RNA is filed under the name uncultured bacterium. RNAcentral's name for it is "bacterial SSU rRNA". It matches the Rfam family "Bacterial small subunit ribosomal RNA", at positions 29 to 507 of the family's 1533-position model. The record is from RNAcentral.